Molecule: ribosomal RNA, 442 nt
Filed under: uncultured bacterium
Lineage: Bacteria
Description: SSU rRNA
Rfam family: Bacterial small subunit ribosomal RNA
Source: RNAcentral
AGAGCGAACGCUGGCGGCAGGCUUAACACAUGCAAGUCGAACGAUCCUUCGGGAUAGUGGCGGACGGGUGAGUAACACGUGGGAACGUGCCCUUUGGUUCGGAACAACACAGGGAAACUUGUGCUAAUACCGGAUGUGCCCUUCGGGGGAAAGAUUUAUCGCCAUUGGAGCGGCCCGCGUCUGAUUAGCUAGUUGGUGAGGUAAAGGCUCACCAAGGCGACGAUCAGUAGCUGGUCUGAGAGGAUGACCAGCCACAUUGGGACUGAGACACGGCCCAAACUCCUACGGGAGGCAGCAGUGGGGAAUAUUGGACAAUGGGCGCAAGCCUGAUCCAGCCAUGCCGCGUGAUUGAUGAAGGCCCUAGGGUUGUAAAGCUCUUUGUGCGGGAAGAUAAUGACGGUACCGCAAGAAUAAGCCCGGCUAACUUCGUGCCAGCAGCCGC